This 155-nucleotide small nucleolar RNA is filed under the name Pseudonaja textilis. The record is from RNAcentral. Lineage: Eukaryota; Metazoa; Chordata; Lepidosauria; Squamata; Elapidae.
ACUGCACACUAUUAAAACUUGGAGUGGAGGCCAGUUUCUGGCCAAUUAACUCUUGAGUGUCGGAAGUGUGCUAGAAUAAAUUUGGCAGGAUUUUCGCUAACACCAGUAGAGUGUUUCUUUGUGACUGGGGUUUGAUAGUAGUUGCUGCCACAUUC